This 406-nucleotide ribosomal RNA is filed under the name uncultured bacterium. Its description in RNAcentral is "partial 16S ribosomal RNA". It matches the Rfam family "Bacterial small subunit ribosomal RNA", at positions 30 to 526 of the family's 1533-position model. The record is from RNAcentral.
AUUGAACGCUGGCGGCAUGCCUAACACAUGCAAGUCGAACGGGUGGCGGACGGGUGAGUAAUGUCUGCGAACCUGCCCGAUGGAGGGGGCUAACUACUGGAGUCGGUAACUACUAACGCCUCCCAUCGGCUGUUCCCCGAUGGGAGUAGCUUGUAGGUGGGGUAACGGCUCACCUAGGCGACGCUCCCUAGCUGGUUUGAGAGGAUGACCAGCCACACGGGAACUAAGACACGGUCCAGACUCCGACGGGAGGCAGCAGUGGGGAAUAUUGGACAAGGGGGGCAAUCCUGAUGCAGCCAGUCCGCGUGGAUGAAGAAGGCCUUCGGGUUGUAAAGUACUUGCAGCGGGAAGGCGGUACCCGCAGAAGAAGCACCGGCUAACUCCGUGCCAGCCGCCGCGGUAAUAC